GUAGGUGAACCUGCGGAAGGAUCAUUAAUGAAAUUAUAAUCCGGCGAGGGAAAGGCGGGGAGUUGUAGCUGGCCCUAGGGCAUGUGCACGCUCUCUUCUGGACUUUCGCCGUAUGGGCGCGGGGCGACCCGCGUCUUCAUAUACCUCUUCGUGUAGAAAGUCUUUGAAUGUUAUCAUCAUCAUCGAGUCGCGACUUCUAGGAGACGCGAUUCUUUGAGACAAAAGUUAUUACAACUUUCAGCAACGGAUCUCUUGGCUCUC
RNAcentral lists this unclassified non-coding RNA (261 nucleotides) under rhizosphere metagenome. RNAcentral's name for it is "partial ribosomal RNA internal transcribed spacer region". The record is from RNAcentral.